RNAcentral lists this long non-coding RNA (233 nucleotides) under Hordeum vulgare. Its description in RNAcentral is "long non-coding RNA (HVUL_LNC009150)". The record is from RNAcentral. Lineage: Eukaryota; Viridiplantae; Streptophyta; Magnoliopsida; Poales; Poaceae.
GCUCUUUAAGUACAUCUUCUCCGCUAGAUCCCAGACUGUCAAAAAACUUAGCCAGUCGGACGACAAAACACAUAUCCUCUAGCUCUGCGGGGGCUUAGGCUUCCAGAAGAAAAACAAAAGUAGCUAACCCGCUCUUUAGUUGUCCGAGUCCGUUAGGAACUGGCAGUCGACUUGGUUCUAUUGCCAGGACGUCGCUUGUUCGAAUGCUGCAACUGGGCUGCCACCUUUUAGCC